This 253-nucleotide ribosomal RNA is filed under the name uncultured bacterium. RNAcentral's name for it is "partial 16S ribosomal RNA". It matches the Rfam family "Bacterial small subunit ribosomal RNA", at positions 524 to 776 of the family's 1533-position model. The record is from RNAcentral.
UACAGAGGGGGCAAGCGUUGUUCGGAAUUACUGGGCGUAAAGGGCGCGUAGGCGGCCUGCUAAGUCGAACGUGAAAUCCCUCGGCUCAACUGAGGAACUGCCUCCGAUACUGUUCGGCUUGAGUCCCGGAGAGGGUAGUGGAAUUCCGAGUGUAGCGGUGAAAUGCGUAGAGACUCGGAAGAACACCAGUGGCGAAGGCGGCUACCUGGACGGGUACUGACGCUGAGGCACGAAAGCGUGGGGAGCAAACAGG